UACGGAGGGUGCGAGCGUUGUCCGGAAUCACUGGGCGUAAAGGGCGCGUAGGCGGCGCGGAUAGUCGGCGGUGAAAGCCCGGAGCUCAACUCCGGGUCGGCCGUCGAUACUUCCGGGCUUGAGCACUGUAGAGGCAGAUGGAAUUCCGGGUGUAGCGGUGGAAUGCGUAGAGAUCGGAAGGAACACCAGUGGCGAAGGCGGCUACCUGGACAAAUACUGACGCUGAGGCGCGAGAGCGUGGGGAGCAAACAGG
This 253-nucleotide ribosomal RNA is filed under the name uncultured bacterium. Its description in RNAcentral is "partial 16S ribosomal RNA". It matches the Rfam family "Bacterial small subunit ribosomal RNA", at positions 524 to 776 of the family's 1533-position model. The record is from RNAcentral.